This 316-nucleotide ribosomal RNA is filed under the name uncultured beta proteobacterium. RNAcentral describes it as "bacterial SSU rRNA". It matches the Rfam family "Bacterial small subunit ribosomal RNA", at positions 8 to 330 of the family's 1533-position model. Lineage: Bacteria; Pseudomonadati; Pseudomonadota; Betaproteobacteria. The record is from RNAcentral.
AGAGUUUGAUCCUGGCUCAGAUUGAACGCUGGCGGUAUGCUUUACACAUGCAAGUCGAACGGGCUUGGGGGCUUGCUCCCGGGUUAGUGGCGAUCGGGUGAGUAAUAUAUCGGAACAUAUCCGGAAGUGGGGGAUAACGUAGCGAAAGUUACGCUAAUACCGCAUAUGCCCUGAGGGGGAAAGGGGGGGAUCGCAAGCCUCUCGCUUUCGGAGUGGCCGAUACCGGAUUAGCUAGAUGGUGAGGUAAAGGCUCACCAUGGCGACGAUCCAGUAGCGGUCUGAGAGGACGACCCAGGCACACUGAACUGAGCACGCC